AAGACUAAGCUCUAAAAACAGAAAAUGGUAAAUGAUACAUUCCCUAAUGGCGAGAUCCACAGCCGAAAACAUCAGUGAAAAGAUACAGGCGCCACACCCUGGAUUUAGUAACUAACCGGUUCCUCUGUGGGCAGCACACCAUAGCUGUUGGAAUUUCCUCUGACAUGAGAACAGUGGUUGAUGAAAGCCAGUUUCUGGUGUCAUAUGGACUUCUGAGAAUCUGGUGAGAGACAUGCUUUUCCUCUCAUGAAUGUGA
Molecule: long non-coding RNA, 256 nt
Organism: Lagenorhynchus albirostris (white-beaked dolphin)
Lineage: Eukaryota; Metazoa; Chordata; Mammalia; Artiodactyla; Delphinidae
Exons: 3
Source: RefSeq, a predicted model, not a curated record